GAAAUUUUAAGUCUUCGGGGGGAAAAACACUAAAAUGUGGUGAGAAGCACACAGAAUAGACAUGAUCUUGGUAAGAAAAUCGUGAAAUAAGUCAGUUCUUCCUAUUACAUGGGAAGUGACCAGGUUAAGGGUGCUGAUGGGUGUCCUGUCAUUGCUCGAUUGUGACUUUGCUUCUUCAUAUGAUGUGAUAAAAGAUGGAGCUCACAAAGGUUUAUUCUUAACAAUGUAUGAGGUA
RNAcentral lists this unclassified non-coding RNA (235 nucleotides) under Hevea brasiliensis (rubber tree). The record is from RNAcentral. Lineage: Eukaryota; Viridiplantae; Streptophyta; Magnoliopsida; Malpighiales; Euphorbiaceae.